This 551-nucleotide ribosomal RNA is filed under the name bacterium SA058. RNAcentral's name for it is "bacterial SSU rRNA". It matches the Rfam family "Bacterial small subunit ribosomal RNA", at positions 84 to 631 of the family's 1533-position model. The record is from RNAcentral.
UCUGGUGGCGAGUGGCGAACGGGUGAGUAAUGUAUCGGAACGUGCCUAGUAGCGGGGGAUAACUACGCGAAAGCGUAGCUAAUACCGCAUACGCCCUACGGGGGAAAGCAGGGGAUCGCAAGACCUUGCACUAUUAGAGCGGCCGAUAUCGGAUUAGCUAGUUGGUGGGGUAACGGCUCACCAAGGCGACGAUCCGUAUCUGGUUUGAGAGGACGACCAGCCACACUGGGACUGAGACACGGCCCAGACUCCUACGGGAGGCAGCAGUGGGGAAUUUUGGACAAUGGGGGAAACCCUGAUCCAGCCAUCCCGCGUGUGCGAUGAAGGCCUUCGGGUUGUAAAGCACUUUUGGCAGGAAAGAAACGUCAUGGGCUAAUACCCCGUGAAACUGACGGUACCUGCAGAAUAAGCACCGGCUAACUACGUGCCAGCAGCCGCGGUAAUACGUAGGGUGCAAGCGUUAAUCGGAAUUACUGGGCGUAAAGCGUGCGCAGGCGGUUCGGAAAGAAAGAUGUGAAAUCCCAGAGCUUAACUUUGGAACUGCAUUUUUA